RNAcentral lists this ribosomal RNA (295 nucleotides) under Acanthamoeba sp. 07009a/T4. RNAcentral's name for it is "partial 18S ribosomal RNA". It matches the Rfam family "Eukaryotic small subunit ribosomal RNA", at positions 893 to 1097 of the family's 1831-position model. The record is from RNAcentral. Lineage: Eukaryota; Discosea; Longamoebia; Acanthamoebidae.
AAUAUUUAAUUGUCAGAGGUGAAAUUCUUGGAUUUAUGAAAGAUUAACUUCUGCGAAAGCAUCUGCCAAGGAUGUUUUCAUUAAUCAAGAACGAAAGUUAGGGGAUCGAAGACGAUCAGAUACCGUCGUAGUCUUAACCAUAAACGAUGCCGACCAGCGAUUAGGAGACGUUGAAUACAAAACACCACCAUCGGUGCGGUCGUCCUUGGCGUCUCGGUCCUUCACGGGGCCGGGGCGCGGGGGUGGCUUAGCCCGGUGGCACCGGUGAAUGACUCCCCUAGCAGCUUGUGAGAAA